RNAcentral lists this long non-coding RNA (572 nucleotides) under Gossypium barbadense (sea-island cotton). RNAcentral's name for it is "long non-coding RNA (GBAR_LNC010819)". The record is from RNAcentral. Lineage: Eukaryota; Viridiplantae; Streptophyta; Magnoliopsida; Malvales; Malvaceae.
CCUCACUUAGCUAAAUGAUUCACACAAAUCACUAAUAGCCAACUCAAAUUCAUCCUUAAUUUCUCCUAUAACAAAAUUCAUCAAAAUUUAAUAAGAAAUACAUCAAAUUCCAUGACCGAAUUUGCAUUUAUAAAAAAAAAACAAAAUCCUUGCAUCUCGUUAAUAUGUCCAAUUGCAAAAAUUGCUUAAUUCAUCACCUAAGCAACAUAAAACUCCAUUACAAUCACAAUUAUUCAUUCCUUAAAACCAACAUUCAACUAUCAAUAAUUUAGCAAAACUCAUGUAAAUGGCCGAAUGCUAUAUCCUCAACCAAAACUAAAGUUUUAACAUGGGCUACGUAGGAAACUAUGUAAUUAACUCAAUUUUCACAAGAAUUUGAAGAUAGCACAUGAAACAUACCUUAAUUUGGAUGCUAAAAUAGCCGAAAGUUUGAUCUCUCCUAUCCCCUCUUUUUUCUUUUAAGAAAUCGGCAAUGAAGAACAAGAGUAAUUAACCUUGUUCUUUUCACCCAUUUACUUAUUUUAUUAUAAUAUAAAAUUGUUAUUACAUAUUAUAAUACAUUUAUAUAUAUA